GUCGAGAUUUAUACAUGAAGCAUUGAGAGGCUGUGGCGAGGAAGUUAUUUUCUGUGAAGUUUAUACAAUACAAGAGCUUUAUUCAUCCCUAAAGGGAAUUUCAUUUGUCUUGAAUCCCUGAUAAACUGCAGAUAAACCAAGUUAUGAUCCGACCUGCCCAGAGGUGGUAAGGCAGUAGUUCUGUGAGCAUCUUUGACGUUGGCAAACAGUAGCCUGGCUGAGCCAUCCUGUUGCGUGAGUCACUUGAAGUUCCUUCCCACCACAGUCUGGACUUCGGCCCAUAGAGAGCGUGUAUGCCCGAUCAGAAAAUAACCGGGCCAAUCAGAGACCGUAUUUCCACUGUUACCCGGACAACAGGGAAAGGCAGCCCCUGAUUGGUCCAUGCACUACUGUAACCAAUCACCGUCACCAAGCAACUGUGAUGAUGUCAGAUGCUUGGUUACAGUGAUUGGUUACAGUAGUCUGUCUAUCAAGGAAAGUACUCCCGCCCACUUUCAGGGCUUCCAAUCGGCCAAAGUCCAGACUGUUGUGGGAAGGAACGUCAAGUGACUCACGCAACAGGAUGGCCCAGCCAGGCUAGGCAGAUCCAGGGCUUUGCUUUCUCUGGUAAGACAGAUUUAAAAAAAAAUGUGUAAAGUCUGUAUCCUAGCAACAGUAUUAUGG
Molecule: non-coding RNA, 663 nt
Organism: Xyrichtys novacula (pearly razorfish)
Lineage: Eukaryota; Metazoa; Chordata; Actinopteri; Labriformes; Labridae
Source: the annotation of a GenBank genome assembly